This 517-nucleotide ribosomal RNA is filed under the name uncultured bacterium. Its description in RNAcentral is "bacterial SSU rRNA". It matches the Rfam family "Bacterial small subunit ribosomal RNA", at positions 369 to 877 of the family's 1533-position model. The record is from RNAcentral.
CAAUGGGCGCAAGCCUGAUCCAGCAAUGCCGCGUGUGUGAAGAAGGCCUUCGGGUUGUAAAGCACUUUUAUCAGGAGCGAAAUGCCAUUGGUUAAUACCCGGUGGAGCUGACGGUACCUGAGGAAUAAGCACCGGCUAACUUCGUGCCAGCAGCCGCGGUAAUACGAAGGGUGCAAGCGUUAAUCGGAAUUACUGGGCGUAAAGCGUGCGUAGGCGGUGACUUAAGUCUGCUGUGAAAUCCCCGGGCUCAACCUGGGAAUGGCAGUGGAUACUGGGUCGCUAGAGUGUGAUAGAGGAUGGUGGAAUUCCCGGUGUAGCGGUGAAAUGCGUAGAGAUCGGGAGGAACAUCAGUGGCGAAGGCGGCCAUCUGGAUCAACACUGACGCUGAGGCACGAAAGCGUGGGGAGCAAACAGGAUUAGAUACCCUGGUAGUCCACGCCCUAAACGAUGCGAACUGGAUGUUGGUCUCAACUCGGAGAUCAGUGUCGAAGCUAACGCGUUAAGUUCGCCGCCUGGG